Malania oleifera is the source of this 884-nucleotide long non-coding RNA. RefSeq lists it as uncharacterized. The transcript has 2 exons. The record is from RefSeq and is a predicted model, not a curated record. Lineage: Eukaryota; Viridiplantae; Streptophyta; Magnoliopsida; Santalales; Ximeniaceae.
UAUUUCUCACACCUCUCUCUCUCUCUCUCUCUCUCUCUCAGCUUGUUCUCAAUGAAAAAAGCGAGGCAGAAACUUGCACAAGGUUACCUUCGAGCUAUCAUGGAAGGUCGCUGGAAAGACGGAAUUCGUAGAGGAGAAGAAGCAUUCAUCGUCGGCGACGGACUCGUCGGUGCAGCUUGGAGGUCCGUCGGAGCCGCGACUUGUUCGUGCUAAUCGGGCUCUAUCCUACCUGAGCUUUUUUCGAGUAGUCUUUCAAUUCUUCACCACCCAACCCAUUUCUUUGAACCUUCUUUUUUUCACUGUCUUUCUUUUUUAUCUCUUCUUGACCUUGUAAGACCUUUUCUUGACCUUGUAAGACCCCGUGCCGUGUUUUCUUUCUUUCUUUUCUACUUUGCCCCGAACUUUAUACUGGGAUUUCCCAGUUUAGGGUUCGAUUGUUGUGUGUCCCCGUCCCCGCCCAACCCGCCGUCUCCUUCCGUGUCUAUCCCUCCUGAGCUGUUUGAAUUAGAUUAGCACAUGCAUCGACCCGAUCGAUCAACCGAUCUCCUCGGCCAUCAUAGAAACUGUGUUUUGUACAUGCAGGGAGCUUCUGAAGAUCAUUAAUAAUUUUUGCUACAUGUAAACAGCUAGCUAAUUAACCAACUAGCUAGCAAGAAGAAGUACUGUUUGUGUGAGGUAAGAGUUGUAAAAGAGCAGGAGUUCUACUUAAGAUCAUUAAUAUGAGUUCUCUUGUUGUUAUCCAAACAGUACUCUCUCUCUCUCUCUCUCCCUAAAUUCUUAAGGGUCAUCAAGUAGAAUUGUAUUAUGUGGGCAGCAGUUUCGUUGUUUUAUAUGUUGUUGUGAGAGAAAAAGUGAGGGAGAGAAUAAAUAUUCUUUUGCAGAUC